CCCCAAACCGCCCACCCAGCCGGGGCCAGCCCCUCCCUGUGCCCGGCAGUCUGGCAGCAAAAGUGGUAAUGUUAGUGUUCUAUUCUCAGUCUUGAUUUCAAUACGAAUUUAAACGGAGUACAGUGAAGAAGUACAUAAAUAUUACUGACAAUAGACGUCCUCCGCCAUCUCCAGAAGACGAGAGGGAGACAGCCUGGCGUGCAAGUUUUAUUAUGGCAGUGUGACGCCUCGUGCCGCGCAGUGAUAUUGAGGAGGCCCGUCACUAGGGGCGAUUUCCCGAGGCGAUAACUGAGAAUAUUUGAAGCCAGACCCCGGGUGUCUUCACCUUGAAAGUGGAGUUUUUAUUUGUCAAGAGUGAGAGAUGUGACAGGCAUUUGGGCCUCACAGGGAGGACCAGCACCGGCCCAUCAACAGACUAUCAGCGAGUGACCAAGUAACACCAGCAUGCGUCCUAUCAAUCCCAUCCUCCACGGCAACACCAAUCCGGGGGCACCGUGUGGGCGGUACAGGAACGGCAAAUGCGUCACUACAAAACCCGCUUGUGUCGCCAACUGGAGGGAGGAGGUGGGGACGACCAUCUAAGCCUCAGAAGAAAGGGGAGUCAUCAUUUUGACCUUCGAAUAUAAGAGCUGGGGAAGAAUUGGCUACCGGUUCUAUAGGCCAACAUAUAAGAAACCAACCUCCUUCACUUUCUACACUGGUAGGUUCCGGAGGCAAGCAGGCGUCCCUCCCAAGCGUAGUAUACAAGUCACACAGCGGCGCCUCGUAUUGCCGUUCAGUGCAGCUUCGACACUGAAUUUACGACUUGCCUCCGCUGCUCAUUUGCCUCGGCCUGCAUUUCUCCUGAGUGCAGCCGUAGGUAUCAAGGCCGCCUCAGCUAAAUUGGCUAUCUGUUUCAACUUUCCUAUGAUUAUUGUUUUUGUAGAGAAUAAUAUUGAGUUGUUGGUCAGAUGUCUUAACACUUAAAACAUAUAUGAAUAAAAAAAUAUCCGGACUCUUUACUUAGAUCUUGUAUUUUCUCUGAAGACGUGGUAGAAAGUGUCGUAGUAAUUUAAUUAACUUUAUUAGGAACGACAAAUGGGUGGACUUCAUUUUUGUACUCUUU
Molecule: long non-coding RNA, 1105 nt
Organism: Scylla paramamosain (green mud crab)
Lineage: Eukaryota; Metazoa; Arthropoda; Malacostraca; Decapoda; Portunidae
Exons: 3
Source: RefSeq, a predicted model, not a curated record